GGAAAAGUUUUGAUGAGGAUAAGAUGUUUGUAUGACGUUCUUAGAGAGGGAGGCAAAAUGCUGGAAGCUUCCUGUCCGCUCUGCAUAUCAUUACCACCUCUGAACUCUGUUUUUGAACAGACUAAAGUAAAAAACAGCGUAGUCCUGCGUUAAAGGGUGAAUGAAGCUGAAUCACGUAUUGAUUCAGAAAUUAAGGGUGGAACCACGAGUCAACGCUCGUCCCUUUG
This 227-nucleotide non-coding RNA is filed under the name Paraliobacillus sp. PM-2. Its description in RNAcentral is "T-box". It matches the Rfam family "T-box leader". Rfam says of the family: Uncharged tRNA acts as the effector for transcription antitermination of genes in the T-box leader family. Lineage: Bacteria; Bacillati; Bacillota; Bacilli; Caryophanales; Bacillaceae. RNAcentral also lists the same sequence under 1 other name. The record is from RNAcentral.